This 422-nucleotide long non-coding RNA is filed under the name Pogona vitticeps (central bearded dragon). RNAcentral describes it as "lncRNA (ENSPVIG00000011247.1)". The record is from RNAcentral. Lineage: Eukaryota; Metazoa; Chordata; Lepidosauria; Squamata; Agamidae.
GACAUGUCAUUUCCCCAGCAACCUUUAUUUGAGCUUAUGGGUGGGUUUGAAGAUGUUCAUGAAUAAUUUGGUGAGAAAGGCCAGAUAACUCAUAAACAUGUUUGAACUUGCUUAUGGGCUUCAAUGAAGGUUGCAGGGGAAAUGUGAAAAGUCAUAGAAAUCUUCCCCCUACCAAUGAGCUUCAUGGCUUGGUAGAAACAGAACCUUCACCUUCCAAGUCUUGAUUAAAAUUUGACCCUCUUGUGUGACAUCACUAAGCUGCGAUCACAGACUUUGGGAUGCUGAUAACCUGGCAACCAUGGUGGUCAUGGGGAUCAUGGAGGAAGGGAGGAAAGGCAAAACCAGAAGAUGAAGCAUCCAUUUCAGGAAACAUUAAAGCCUGGCUGUCACAGGAAAGCAUAAGAUACAUGAGUGAAUGCUAA